AAGUGCUUGGCCGAGAUCGUGAAUUUUUUAACAAAUGACCUCAAAUCAGGCAAGAAUACCCGCUGAACUUAAGCAUAUCAAUAAGCGGAGGAAAAGAAACUAACAAGGAUUCCCCUAGUAACGGCGAGUGAAGAGGGAAGAGCUCAAAUUUUAAAUCUGCCUUGUUUCAAGGUCGAGUUGUAAUUUGAAGAAGCGUUUUCUUGGGCUCGCGGCCGGUAGAAGUUCUUUGGAACAGGACAUCAUAGAGGGUGACAAUCCCGUCUGCGACCGGUCGUGCGUUCAUCUACGAUACGCUUUCAAAGAGUCGAGUUGUUUGGGAUUGCAGCUCCAAAUGGGUGGUAAACAUCACCUAAGGCUAAAUAUUGGCGAGAGACCGAUAGCGAACAAGUACCGUGAGGGAAAGAUGAAAAGAACUUUGAAAAGAGAGUUAAACAGUACGUGAAAUUGUUGAAAGGGAAACGAUUGAAGUCAGUCGUGCUGGCGCGAAAUCAACCCUCUCGUCGAGAGGACACAUGGCGUGGCGAGCCUCAAAACCGUCACGAAGCGUGAACUCUUGGCGAAAAGGAGCACUUUCGUGUCCGCUGGUUAACAUCAAUUUCGAACGUCAUAAAAAGGCUGGAGGGAUGUGGCUCCUUCGGGAGUGUUAUAACCUUUAGCGGAAUGUGGUGGUCGGGAUUGAGGAUUGCAACGAAUACCUUUAGGGCUGUUCCACCUGGCCUCUCUUUGGUAUCCUGGUGACGACAGCUUGCUGACGUUGUUAGGAUUCGCCAUUGAACAGGCUAGAGUGUGAGCAAAUUCGUUAAGGAUGUUAACGUAAUGGCUUUAAACGACC
This 832-nucleotide ribosomal RNA is filed under the name Entrophospora claroidea. RNAcentral's name for it is "partial 28S ribosomal RNA". It matches the Rfam family "Eukaryotic large subunit ribosomal RNA", at positions 1 to 649 of the family's 3401-position model. The record is from RNAcentral. Lineage: Eukaryota; Fungi; Glomeromycota; Glomeromycetes; Entrophosporales; Entrophosporaceae.